UGAGUAAAAAAGGUGCUUUUUUCCUCCAUCGCACUUCCGGAUCGCUCAGACUGUUUUCCUUUUUUCCACAAAGGGGCGCAAAGUUUGUUUUCGCAGUUUCACUUCCGGUUUUUAUAGCUGUCGAACUUCCGAAGUUGUUACAGAAGGCUAUUAUCCAACAAAUCACGGACGUUAAACUGUUUGCAUAUCCGCCUAAACAACACGACCAUUUUUCCACUCAUGGUAUAAAUACGACUUUCCACCAGAUAAUCCAACAUCACAACGUUUUGCACCUAGAGGCCGUGUCAAACGCAGAACAACCAGUGCACAAUGACCGUCACGAAGAUAUAUAUCCUUUACUUCUUCAUCGCCACGCUUCUUCUCGAUUCCGUGAAGAAAUCUGAAUGUUCCUCUGAUAAAUGGAUUUUUUCUGGAAAGAUGGCAGCUGGCUUCUCCACUCAAAAACGUCCCAAACGAAGCCCGUGUAUUGUUGGUACAAGAUGGAGAACAAGAAGAUGCCAAAAAAGCAAACGAGCUCUACAACCGAAGGUAUUUUUUUCUGAUCGCGACUGGAAUAAAAAUUGAUGAACAGACACUAAAAAGAAGAGGAAAAAAAAAGAUGCACGUGAAGUCAAGGCCAUUGGUCUAGGCAUGUUCAGAUCAAGUCUUCAAGGCAGCUCACCAUGUUGGAAAAUAAUUGCUUGAUGCUGAAACUGUUUAUUUUUUACUUUGACAAAAUAAAGGAACUAACCCAGCUUGGUUUAAUUAGAACUUGACGCCA
Molecule: long non-coding RNA, 760 nt
Organism: Pocillopora damicornis (cauliflower coral)
Lineage: Eukaryota; Metazoa; Cnidaria; Anthozoa; Scleractinia; Pocilloporidae
Source: RefSeq, a predicted model, not a curated record